UACGUAGGGGGCUAGCGUUGUCCGGAAUCAUUGGGCGUAAAGAGCGUGUAGGCGGUCCGGUAAGUCCGUUGUGAAAGUCAGGGGCUCAACCCUUGAAUGCCGGCGGAUACUGUCGGGCUAGAGUCCGGAGGAGGCAAGUGGAAUUCCCGGUGUAGCGGUGAAAUGCGCAGAUAUCGGGAGGAACACCUAUGGCGAAGGCAGCUUGCUGGGACGGUACUGACGCUGAGACGCGAAAGCGUGGGGAGCAAACAGG
This 253-nucleotide ribosomal RNA is filed under the name uncultured bacterium. Its description in RNAcentral is "partial 16S ribosomal RNA". It matches the Rfam family "Bacterial small subunit ribosomal RNA", at positions 524 to 776 of the family's 1533-position model. The record is from RNAcentral.